GAGCGGGGUUGCAGCUCUGCCUUAGCAUGGGUCGUGUUGUGGAAUGGACGCUAGAAAAGCAAUUGGCGCGCCUGGGCCGUCUUUUCGCGCGGAAACCUGGGCGUUUCAGACCGUACCACUGCAGAGCCCCAUGGGUUUGAGCGUCUGAUGUCACAUCCUGCAAGGAAAACGGCUGAACGGCAAUCUGGCCGUCUUCCCAGUCGCCGCAGUCUCCUGGGCCUGAUUCAGCCAAAGUUCCCACCCAGGAAUCCUGGACGGCUGACAGGAAACAGACCCAAGUCUCUCGAGGCCGCUUGCUUUGUCAGCAUCUUUGGGUGGUCCAGAGAAGAUUGCAAACAGGAAAACCUUGAUUGCGCUGCAGGAUCUCAACUGUUUCGUGACCGCGCAGACGUUUGUGGUUUGGAACCGACAUCCUGUGACAAAGUAAGGCAAAGUUUUUCCUCGCACUAAAAGAAAUGUCUUUGCUGCUCUCACAACUGUGUUUUAAAAAAACAACAACACAAUACUAUUGUAUUAUUCAAUAUCAAUGAAGUUCUGGCUCUAGAAAAUCUUCCACUGAUUUAUUAUUUGGCAAAAAUCACAACAAGGUUUCAAAACAGCACACUUUGCUCUAAUUGGACCGGGAUGACAUCGAUCGGGCUUCUUUGAGCAACACCAACACGCACGAACAUCUUGAACUAAACAGGAAACGCUGGGAUGGUCUGCUGGCACGUGGCCAUGGCCUCCCUCUGACUCCACCCUGAGGCUUGAUACGUGAGCUUUUCCACAUCUGAGCCACACCACAAUAUUGAUCCACGGUCAAUACGCAGGGUUUAAAAGCAGGAUGAUGAGAAUAAGCCCCCGAGGGGUGCAAAGAGAUCACAAACUCUGGUGCUGCUGAUUUUGUCUACUACUACCUUGAAAUGAGACGAAAAUAACUAUCGAGGCUCACAUCCGUUAGUUGCGACGGCACGCACGCGGCUUAUCUGCAUUUGCUAUUAACAACAACUGUUAUCAAGCUAGUGCGGCAAUGCUAACAGUCGUCAAGCUAGCGUGGGAAAUGAUCCUAAAAUCAUUUAUUUCGAUGAAAUUCAUUAUGUCUUUGUAAUAAUAUAAAAAGAUUUGUUUGUUCAGACAAAAUCAAAUAAAAAUAGCCUAAAAUCCAUUAGAAUCAUUUUUUUUUAUCUUUCAAAACCAUAAUCAAAAAGUGCAAGGCCUGAUGGGAGCAAGUUCGACCAAGAGUCAAACGUGGGCCGAGCACGUAGGACAAUGACACUGCCGGGAUUUGCUUUUUUAAGACAUCUCACCGAGCGGCGCCUCAAAGAGGAAGUUGAAACGAGGAAGAGGAGAGGCGCCCGACCCUCAAUAACUCCCGCUCGGAUGCUGAGAGGAACUCAGAAAAGCUUCGCGCAGCUUCACAACAUGAACAGACGAAGCAGAUUUGAAAACUACAACCAAAGUUGAACGAGACAUUUUUAGAAUAACGUCAGCUCACUUUUUGUCAUUGUCACCUAACACCACUCCUGAAGUGUCAAUCAAAAGCCAGCGAAAAAAAUUGUUCUGGAUUGAAUGUACGCAGCAGGCUGUCAGUUACUGGAGUAUCUUUACGUCACCAAAGCGUUGGAUGACAUUAGCGAGAGAGCAAAACACUUCCUCUUUUACCGACACAUGAAACACUUCACUCUUGGCCCUUUUUUGUGGUUUCAUUCUUUGUCUUUAACACCAAAACCUUCCGUGGUCUUUGUUCCACGCAAAAAAAAAACGUGCUUCGUUAGAGACGCCCGUCUGGA
This is a long non-coding RNA of Syngnathus typhle (broad-nosed pipefish), 1769 nucleotides long. RefSeq lists it as uncharacterized. NCBI's taxonomy places the organism in Eukaryota, Metazoa, Chordata, Actinopteri, Syngnathiformes, Syngnathidae. The transcript is spliced from 4 exons. The record is from RefSeq and is a predicted model, not a curated record.